AUCCUUUUGGAUUCAUAAGCAUGAUGAUUGGGUAUUCAUGCCAUUGUGUGUGACAUGACUCUCAAACUUUGUUAUAACACCGGCAUACUACCCUUUUGACA
Talpa occidentalis (Iberian mole) is the source of this 101-nucleotide small nucleolar RNA. RefSeq annotates it as small nucleolar RNA U13. NCBI's taxonomy places the organism in Eukaryota, Metazoa, Chordata, Mammalia, Eulipotyphla, Talpidae. The transcript has a single exon. The record is from RefSeq and is a predicted model, not a curated record.